AAACGUCUUCAAGGUCGGGUGAAAUUCCCAAUCGGUGGUUACAGCCCACUACCCAAUGAAAAUUGGUUGAGAUGGUGAAAUCCCAUUGCCGACAGUAAAGUCUGGUAUAAAGAAGAUCAGU
RNAcentral lists this non-coding RNA (121 nucleotides) under Fructilactobacillus fructivorans. Its description in RNAcentral is "Lactobacillus fructivorans FMN sequence". It matches the Rfam family "FMN riboswitch aptamer (RFN element)". Rfam says of the family: The RFN element is a highly conserved domain that is found frequently in the 5'-untranslated regions of prokaryotic mRNAs that encode for flavin mononucleotide (FMN) biosynthesis and transport proteins. RNAcentral also lists the same sequence under 1 other name. The record is from Rfam by way of RNAcentral. Lineage: Bacteria; Bacillati; Bacillota; Bacilli; Lactobacillales; Lactobacillaceae.